CAGAGGUAAGAACGUCAGCCGUGAUAGUUUCAGGUCUGGGCGUGGAUCUGGACGAGUAGUUAGGGGUUCAUGGGUUCGUCCUGAUUCACGUGGUUAUGCUACUCGUGGGAUGAGAGGAAUUAGUAGCCGUGCCCCUCCACCCAGUCUAAAGAGGCCUGUUGGACUAAGAGAUAGACGUCCUCUCAUGUCUGCACCAGCUAGAGGCAGACCUUUAUCACCUCCCCCUUCUAGAUCCUAUGACAGAAGAGCCCCUGGUAUAGCUCUAUCCUGCUUCAUGUCUACCUGAAUUCUUCAUUUUUUGAGAUUUAAAUUUCUUACUUCAAUCUUUUUUGACAGUUAUGCCAUAUCCAAAGGGUAGCUUUAAGAGGGAAUAUAGUCAACGUGAUGAGCUUCCUCCUCCAAGGAGCAGAGAAGUUAUGGAUUAUGGAUCUAGGGUUGUCCCUGAUAGACGAUCCACAUAUAGAGAAGAAUAUUCUUCUCGCAACCCUGGUUACUUUGAUUUGCCUAGAACCACAUCUCGUAAUGCAGCGAGAAGACCGUAUGGAGAUGAUGCAUAUGCCCAAAGAUUUGAAAGACCUCCUCCUAGUUAUCGUGAGGGGCGUGGCCGUGAUUAUGACACUAUUUCUGGCUCAAAAAGGCCAUAUCCUGUUAUGGUUGGUCCCACAGUUCCUUCAAGUAAUUAUGUCAUCAUUGGCAUAUGAUUUAACAAUUUCCUAGCUGAUUAUGCCGUGUACUUGCUUGUUGAAUCAGGAUGAUGUCCCUCCACGAUAUGCUGAUGAUGGUCCGAGGCAUUCAAGGGCUCGUCUAGACUAUGAACUUGCUGGUGGUGCUCCUCCAUAUGUGGAUGCAUAUGGUGAUAGGUUUGUUAUUUAGGAGCUUUUUGGUGUUUAUUCUCUUUGUUCUGGAGCUUUAGUUAUCUUUUGUCUUAUUUUGAUAGGCUUGGGAGAUCCAAUCUAGGAUACGGUGGCAGCAGGAAUUCUAUAUCUAGUCAGACCUCACAUGGGCUAUAUGGCAGUCGUCAGGGCAUGGGCUAUGGUGGAGGUGUGUUCUAAGUUGCUGCUGAUUUGUUAAAAUUGAAAGAAGAGGGGUUCCUCCUGGGUGGGGUGGACGUAGUGUUGGUGUUUUCUGGUUUAAUGACUUACAUUUGGUCUGGUUUUCAGGUUCUUUUAGCAGCAGUGAUGUUGGAGGAAUGUACUCAUCCUCUGGUUAUGGUGGUGAUUACAUACCUAGGGGAUCUGGUGUAUGUCCUUUUCCUUCUUUCUUUUGUUUGAUAUUUUAAAAACUAUACUAGCCUAUAUCGAUGUUCUUUUUCUGCUUCCAUGGCAGGUUGGUGGUAGCUCUUACUCAUCCAUGUACUCCAGUCGUGGUAUGGGUGGUAGCAGUUACAUGGGUGGUGGGGGUGGUUCUGGGUCAUACUACUGAUGUAAGUUAAAUUGUUUUUAUCCCUUUUACUUUUCGUGUUGUACCUGUGGACGUGUAAUAAUUAUCUUCUGCAGUAGUAUGCAUUUCUAAUGUAGAUUAGGCUUCCUGAAGAAGAUGGUUUAUAUGUUCUGAGAGGUGUAUUAGCAAGGUGAAUUUGUCCAUGAAACAGAUUUCGGAGACAGUGAGGCUUCUGUAGGGUGUGGAGCAUUCGAAGCUUUGGUUUUGGUACCCAUGGUAUUGGAUAGAAGCAUGCCAAGUGCUAUAGCCUCCAUACAUGUUAGUACAAGGUUUUGAGGCUUAAGUUCAAUGUGAAAGGCAGGGUGCUGGUUCAAACUGUUUCUAGUUUCAAGAUCAGGUUACUUGUGAUAGUGCGUAUUCAAGUUUAUGGUGUAAGGAAAACUAAUCUUACGUAGAGAUUAAACAGCAAGUGCUUAGAAUAUGCUGUAUAUGAACAAUAUUUGCUUUUGUAUUUAAGAACCCUACCAAUGGAUAAUUUGGAAGCUUUUGUUACGAACUCUACUGGGCUGAGUAUUUGAGCGAGGAUUAAGUCAUUAAUUUACAUUUGGUUAUGGAUUUUGGAAAAUUUGGCAUGCUGAACUCAACUGGUAAGUGUUGAUAAGGUAAGAAACAAGGCAUUAACAUCUUUCCUUAAGGGUGAUAAGCACUAAGAGAUCAAAUGGUACCUAUACCUGAAGAUUAUGUGAAAUCUUUAGAGGAUAUUCUUGUAUGCUUUUUUUGUACAAGCAUAUUGUAAUUCUUGGAAGUGGUGCUUGUGAAGCCAUGUACAUGCCAGGAGGAAAUUAAAGACUUACUUAACCUGAUCUGGUAAAGCUUGUACACUGUAGACACAUACUAACUUUUGUUUUGGCUUGAUUUUUCUAUGGGAAUUCCCGACUAAGACGAAAUGGACUUGAUUCUAGUACAGGAAAGGACAUGGCUUCAACACCUGACAUGUUUGAUUCUUUGGUCACUGUUGCACUUUUUAGUUCUUUUUGUUGGUAUCUUUCUUGAGAAAAGUUUCGUGUGUUCAAUUUUUUUUCAUUUUUCUGGUUUUGGGUUGUCCUUGGCCUUGUGGUGUAUGCUUGGCAAAGAUUUUGAACUUUUUGCUUAUGACCCAUAGGAAAGUAUCUGUUUCUUACUGAAGGACCACUUCCUAAUGUCACAGCGGCUGCUAUUUCUUUUCUCCCUUGUUAUUGUUUGAUGAAGCAUCUCUAUAUGAAGCUGUGCUCUCCAACUUGAGUUAUAUGGAUUUUGGGGGAAAUUUCUGUUUCUCAUUAUGAAGCAUCAUGAAAUGGUUUAUAGUUGUUUUGGCAAGUUGUUGGUAAAUGAAACCCUUGUGGAGGCAGUGCCUUACAAAUUGGGCUUAGAAGAGAAAUGAUUUUGGAAAAGUAGAAUUCUAAUUUGCUCAGAAAUCAAUGAAGCUGUGGGUUUUUAUGUUGGUGAUUUAAAAAAUGCUUUUUUAAGAAAACAUACUGAGCACAACCUUUAGUUGGAGUUGCAAUUUGUUGAAAUCAUUGGCUUUUUACUAAAUUGUACUUGAGAAUAAGUGAGUUGCCUUCCCUCCCCCCAAGUAUUUUAGUGACGUUAUAAGUUAAUAAGAUGCACUUCGAACUUUAUGCUUGAGAAGUGUAAAAAGUAUGGUCUAACAAGAUGUAUAAUGUCAUACCUACGGGGUCUUCAUUAUGUUCAAUGAUAUUUAGUCCAUGGGUGGUUUAUUCUCAGUUCAAUGUGAAUAUUUAAGCAUAACGUCAUGUAAAGUAUUAAUGUAGGAUCAAAAUUGUUAGUUAACAGGCGAAUGGUUGGCCAGAUCUGCCACCGUUACUGAGCUCUUCACAGUUAAAAACUUGAUUGGUAUGCUUGUUCCAUCUCGCUUGGGCUGGUGCUUUAAAAUUAUUAGCAGGACUGCUACUUGUUUAGCAACCCAGCACUUUGACAUGAUGCUGGUUCUUGCUUUUGUAGUUUUUUUAUUCAUGUUAUUUUGGUCUCAAAUAAACUUGCGGGAUAGUGCAACAACAAGGCAACCAUGAUGCUGUAUAUACUAUAUUGCCUGUGGUGUUUUUUCUGGCUUGCUCUUUUUCCCCCUUUGGAAAUUUAGUUACUUUGGCAAAUAUAUGGAUUUAUUGGUUGUAUCUGUGCUUGUUUCCGAGUUUGGGGGUCCAAAUCUUAUGUGCUCUGGGACUGGCCUGCGAAAAGGAGAGGAUCACAAGUUACUAAUUCAGUAAUAAAAUUAGGGGUGAGAGCGUAACUGCAUGCCUUCAUGAACAGACUAGGCAUAAGGAAGAGAAGGCAAUAUCUGUUUUUGAUGAAUGGCACAACUUCUAUGGUAGGCAUUGGCUCGUGGGUCUUUGCUGAUAACAUUAGUGCACAACUCUGUUCCCAAACAUUUUCUUCCUUAUUAUUUAUCCUGACUUUUUUUUGCCCUUAUAUCAAGUGCUCUUUUGCCCCAUUCUUCAUUAUUUCCUAGACUUGAUUUUGAUGAUGGUGCAGCAUGCCGAUAACUUGGUUUAGAAAUAUUAUUAUUGAUCCAUUGUUAUUAUCGCUGACUAAAUUCCAAAUAAUAAUGAACUAAUAUCUAUUGCAUUUAAGCUCAUGAAUGAUGACCGAUCGACAUAAGAUGUUUAAUGGCUUUGCAUCUGAAAGUGCUAAAAUUUGAUGUUACUGACAAUUUCGUUCCAGGUUUAUGUGUCGGCGUGUAUGUUGUAUUUCCAUGGAAAUCGAUCUACUUUUCUUCUCCGAAAUCGAUUUUUUAAAUCAACACCAUCUUUGCUUUUCUUUUAUACGUACUUCAUUCACUGGUAGCUUUGAAUUCAUGGGACGGUGUUUUCUGGGAGUGUCUCUCAACAUGUCAUCACUAAUUAGUUUAUGAUGUUAAUGGCCAAAAGAAAUAAAAGGAAAAUAGUUGCACUUUUUAAAGAUAAACGAUUAUGUAAGUUUUUAGAAACAAAAAGGUUAAAAAGUCCCAUUUAGUCACUUCCAUUUUCGACAUUAGUAUUUUUUAAAAAUAAAUUAAUUUUUGUCAAUUUUGAAAGUACUGAUUUCAGUAGUAUGUCCAUCAAAUGUCACAAUCAAGUGUAAUGUAGUAAAAAGUCAAGCUAGUACCUAAAACCAGUAAACGUGUUAUUCCCCAUUGCCAGUAAAAUUGCAGAUGAAAUUGGAAAGGAUGCUGCCUUGAUACUUGGAUCGAGGACAAUAUAUAUCUUCACAGUUUGUACUUGGACGACGAAUAUCCGACUAGUCAAAUGGAGGAUAAUGUUGUCCGCGCAGUAGUAAGCUCUUUGUAAACAAUAUAUGACAAAGCCAACAAAGAGCAAAAGAAUGUAUGGAAUAAACGGCGGCAACUCCACCAUAGCAAGACAUUCCCCUGCUAGUUAAUAUGUAAGGGGCAUGUAUACGACUAUACAACAUUUCAGCUGCCGAUUCAACCAAUUCAUUCUGUUCUUCAGCGAACAUGUCACCUAUAAAACCCCAAAAUGUGUACUUAAUAGCAAGAAUCAAUGUGCGUGGAUGACUGACAAGUCCACAGAAACAAAACUUUAACAAUUAUACGUGUCAACACAAUUAGUGACUUGUUAAGGGUUCAAUCAGGUCCUCAUGGAUAACCAUCCCAUUAAAUACAUUUUCAAGUGACUCAUUGUUGAACCAUACAAAGUUGAUUGUCCGUGAAUUUCUUUUAAACUAGUUAAGAAUUCGCUCGCAUAUGAUCAUUUGUUUUUAUCUUUUAAAAGAGAACAUAGAGAGAUUACGAAACUAUAACGAUUGUACAAUUUUUAUAAGGAGAACACCAAAGUAGGAUCACAUAGUGCUAUUACUAUACUUGACAACUGACAUGUAACAAAAAUGCUACUUAACUGAUCACACAAACAACCUACUAUUUGUAUUGCCAGGUGACCUGAUUCUACCAAAUCAUGGAACCUCCCCUAUAUGUACCAAAUAUUGUUAAGUGAAUAUGUUGGAUAUAGGUGUUAUAUCUUAAUGUUUUAAACAUAUUUACUGGUUUAAAUAAAUUAUAUAAUUACAAAUAUAAGUUUUCUCAUAUAAAGGAAUCAAGAAUCUUUAAAAGAAAACCUUCCUAUUGGACUAGAAGUCUCAAUGUGCCAAUGAUUAUUGCUUCUUGCUUUUAUAUAUUUACGUGGAUUAUUAUUUUAUUUUUUGUUUCUUAAAUGAUCCAUUGAAGUGAACUCAAUAAUUAAUUUUUUAUGUUUUGUAAGUUCAUUAAGGAUUAGACAUUGAACAUAAAUCUUUUAAUUUUAUAAAUCAAGUUAAAAAAUUGUGAUACAUAUUAUCUUAUAUUGUUCAUUUAAGUAGCAAAAGGAUGUGCGAUGUGGUUUUAAUGCAGAAAACUCAAUCAUUAAAUAUAACAAAUGAUGAUAUUUUAUUUAUUGUUGAUUUUAUUGAUUUCUUGAUCCAUGAGGUCUAAGUUUAAUAAUUGCAAUAAAAAUGAUUAAGAAAAAUACAACAGUUUCUUAUUGUGGAAAUUCACUUCUUAAUUAUCCAUAAAUUUUCUUUUAAGAAAGUAUAAUAUGAAUUUACAAAACGAAGCGCAAAAUUUUUAUAAGAACCUGCAACGUUACUGAUUUCUACGGAGGAAGAUUACGGUACUAUAACAGUGCCACGUAAGAUUAGAAGGCGAGCGAGGGAAGAUCCUAUGCGGCUAUGCUUCAGCUUCUACCUUAAGAUCCAAGCAAGGUGAUAAUGUCAGCUGCUUCACUCUCCAUGCUUUCCACGUGUCUUCGUCGCCCAAUAUAGUUUAUUCUCCGAUUAGAAAUACCUCUGUUUCAUUAAACUAAUAAUAAUAUAUCAACACUUCAAAAAAAUAUCAACUGUAGAACGUGUAUCAUGAUUUUAUUUAAAUAAUAUCUUUAAUCAUUAGGCCGUAAAUUUAAAUCGAUAAGAAAUUACAUUACGACACAUUCACAAUAUACAUAAUAAAUUUUGAAAUUUAAUAAAUAUUUAAAUAUGAAUUUAAUUAAAAUAAUAAAGUUGAGAUUAUAAAUUAUAAUAUUUUGACUAUGAAUUUCAUCGCAUAUAAAUAGUUUUUUUUUAUAAAAUUUACAUGAACAUACAAAAUUAUCUUCAAUUAAUAUGUAUUGAUGUAACGCUUAAAAUUACUAAUAAUCUUUAUCCACCCCUAAAUGGGAGUAUAUUCAUGCUUCCAUAUUCUCUUGUUCUGAUAAUAAUAUUGAUAUCAGCCGAACUAUUACUCAAUUAACAUAAUUUGUUGUAACUUUAUAAUUGAACAUGUCAGUUAAAAUUGUAAUAUAAUAUAGAUAGAGAGAUUAAUAAUAUUACAAAUAAGAAUGGUAUGCAUCUAAAAUUUUUAUAUUUUAAAAAAUGAAAUGUUUUUUUUAAACGUGACUCAAUUUUCUGAUUUUUUUUUUACAAUAACAAUAUUAAAAAUAUAAAAUGGCGUGGGAAAUAAAUUAAUUUUUUAUUAGUACCGUGACAGUAUUAGUACGUAUUUUUUAAAAAUAUCACUAUUUUUAUGGGUAUACGCAUUAAAAAAGCAAAAAAAAAAAAAGAAAAUUGCUGAAAAAAAAAGAUCAGAUGAAAACGAGAAAAUGAAAAAGAAGAAGCUUGAAUUAAAUCAAAAGACAAACUUUAGGACACUAGCUGCCGCUUUGUUUUGUUGUUGGGAGAAUUAAAUUAGAAAGAAAUUUUGGGAAGUGAAAUUAACCAUAGAUAACUAUAACUAUAAUAAAAACAAAAAUAAUUUUGGGUUGAGAAAAUUAAAUUAAAAAUAUGUAUUUUAAAAAUUUUAAAAAUAUAUAUUUUCAGGUGACACUGAUAAAAAAAAAACACAUUUAAACUUCAACUGCUUUUUUUUUCUCUAUAUUAAAAAAGAAAGACCACAUUUUUGUCUAUUAUUUUUUCAAAAUAGCGAUCUAUAUAUAUCAAACGAUGACAUAGUCCGUGCGCGCGCAUAUAUAUAUCUAAAUAAACCAGGAGACCAACCUCAAACCGUGUAUUAAAUUCACCCUAGAACCAGAUUUCCAAAACAAAAUUCACGUCUUUUUCCUCUUUGUCACUCUCUCUAUUCCCCCCGUUUCAUUCGCAUACUUAGGGUUAGGGUUUUUUAUUGCGAUUUUAGAUAUUUCCUUAUUUACUUCUCUUUAACUUAGGAUAUUUAAUUUGGAUUCCGUUUCGACUUAUCUAGGAGUUCUCAUCAAUCCGUGGGUUUUAAUUUUUCUCUUUGUUCUAUCGGAAGUUUCAAUUAUCCCUUUUUCCUUUAUCGAAUUCAGAUAUCUCAGUCGUGUGGUUUCUAAACAAUGCCUCCUAGAACCGUGAAGAGAGGAGCCGCGGCCGGUGGUCCAAAGAGAACGCCGAGGUCCACUAGAGGGGCGUCCAAAUCCGAGAAUCCACCAGCGGAGCCUGUACACGAGGCCGUGAAUUCAAAGGAGGCUUCAGUUCCAGUUGAGGAGGUCGUGGAGGCCGUUAAGGCUGUUGAGAAAUCAACUCCGGAGCAAAAAGUGGUGAUCGAGGAGAAAGGGGUUGUUGAGGAGGAAAACACCGGUUUAAAUUUGAAUUCCAAUGGGUUGGUUGCGAUGAAGAGUAAGUCUUUGGUUUGCUUUUGGUUCAUCUGAUUUGCUUUCAAUCUGAUGGAUUUGGGCAUCUGCAAGUUUGAAAAUUGUAUGGCACGUCGCCAUUAUACAAAACUGUAGCUUUUAUUGUAGUUUUGUGGGCUAUUCCUGGAAUUUAGCAUGUUAUAAAGUGUCUGCUUUCCGUUGGAUCAUAUUUGGUAUCACAUAAACGUAUCCUUGUCCAUUUAUUUCCCUUUCCGAGAAUUUGCAAGGUUCACAAUCAUUAUCUUUACGAGAAUUUGGAUUGUUGAGAUAUUUUUGUUUCUAUUAGAAUUUCGUAUCAAUUGCUUUAAGGUGAUUGCUUCUUGGCUGGCCUUGAUUAUUCUAUCCCUUCUUUGUCGCAGAAGAGAAUGACUCUAAGGAGUCUAUCGAGGAGUAUGAAAAAGAUGAGAGGUUAGAGUUGGAUGAUAAUGAACCUGAAUAUGAAGCUGAAGAAUAUGGUGGGGUGGAUUAUGACGAGAAGGAGAUGGAUCCUGAUGAAGUGGAAGAUGAAGUAGAGGAAGUGAUUGAGGAGGAGCAGGAUGGUGAGGACGAAGAUAUUCAUGAAAUUGAAGUAGAAGGUGAUGCCGAUGAUGAUGAGCAUCCUGGGGAGGAAGCAGAGCAUGCAGAUUUGGAUGAUGCAACCGAGCAUGAAGAGCGACAUGAAGUUGUUCAAGAGAGACGCAAGCGUAAAGAGUUUGAAGUGUUUGUUGGGGGCUUAGACAAGGAUGCUACCGAAGAUGAUAUCAGGAAAGUGUUCAACCAAGUGGGUGAAAUUGCUGAAGUUAGGUUGAUGAUGAACCCUCAAACAAAGAAGAACAAGGGCUUUGCUUUCUUGCGAUUUGCAACUAUAGAACAAGCAAAACGUGCAUAUACUGAACUUAGGAAUCCCGUGGUAAUUAUUCUGUUCUUCAAUAAUAUUACUUUUCUGAAUUUCAAAAUGGAUCAACUCUAAAACUUAAAACUAUUUUGUUCUAAUGACUGCAAUUCUAGAUUAAUGGAAAACAGUGUGGUGUUACCCCAAGUCAAGACAGUGACACCCUUUUUCUGGGUAAUAUAUGCAAGACAUGGACAAAGGAAGCAGUAAGUACAUGGGAUUAUUUAAGGUCACUAGCAAGUGGGCCAUCUUUGUAAAUGUUUAUAAGUAGAUAACAUGUGUUCGUUAUUGACUGUUGUUCCAGUUGAAAGAGAAGUUGAAACAUUACGGAGUUGACAAUGUUGAGGACUUAACAUUGGUCGAAGACAGCAACAAUGAAGGAAUGAAUCGAGGCUUUGCAUUUUUGGAAUUUGCAUCCCGUUCAGAUGCGAUGGAUGCUUUUAAGCGCCUUCAACGGAGAGAUGUUUUAUUUGGGGUUGAUAGGCCUGCAAAGGUUUCUUUUGCAGAUUCCUUCAUCGAUCCGGGUGAUGAAAUCAUGGCACAGGUAAUUUACUAAAACAAAUUUUCUUCUAAUAUAAUUUGUGGUUGGGUUGCUAUGGUUUGGUCCCAAGCUCUCAUGCCUCACAUGCCUCUUGCCACUAAGCCAAGAGGUGGUUGGCUACAAAACAGUUUUAGUUGGCUACAAAACAGUUUUUCUUUUUUGCUUCAGGUGGCAUGAGCUACGGGGCUUGUUGGAAAUCAUAAAUGUAUUUUAUUGUGAGAGCUUGAUGAUUUUUUCUCCCAAGUUCAGGUUAGGACCAUAUUUAUUGAUUGCCUGCCUCCUUCUUGGGAUGAGGAUCGCGUUAGAGAGCUACUAAAGAAGUAUGGGGAGAUUGAAAAGAUUGAACUUGCCCGGAACAUGCCAUCUGCUGACAGGAAGGAUUAUGGUUUUGUCACAUUUGAUACUCAUGAUGCUGCUGUCACAUGUGCUAAGAGCAUUAAUAAUACCGAGUUGGGCGAAGGAGACAUCAAGGUUAGUCAAUGUUCUUGGUGUACCAUGUUGUUUACAUGACUUAGCUAUUACCUUGUCUAAUGGUUAUUCUUUUAUUUCAGGCGAAAGUUAGAGCCAGGUUAUCGAGACCACAUCAAAGAGGCAGAGGUAAGAACGUCGGCCGUGAUAGUUUCAGGUCUGGGCGCGGAUCUGGACGAGUAGUUAGGGGUUCAUGGGGUCGUCCUGAUUCACGUGGUUUUGCCCCUCGUGGGAUGCGAGGAAUUAGUAGCCGUGCCCCUCCACCUAGUCUAAAGAGGCCUGUUGGACUAAGAGAUAGACGUCCUCUCAUGUCUGCACCAGCUAGAGGCAGGCCUUUAUCACCUCCCCCUUCUAGAUCCUAUGACAGAAGAGCCCCCG
This 10243-nucleotide long non-coding RNA is filed under the name Gossypium raimondii (Peruvian cotton). Its description in RNAcentral is "long non-coding RNA (GRAI_LNC005139)". Lineage: Eukaryota; Viridiplantae; Streptophyta; Magnoliopsida; Malvales; Malvaceae. The record is from RNAcentral.